AAAGAAAUCAGAUCGGUGCUAAGUCACUCUGCCUUUAUGGCAAAUGUGAGAUGCAGUGUAUGGAACGUCUUCAAUCUAGUAUGAGAAAUUACCGAUUUACGUCCUUCUUAAAUGAGGCCAAUUACCCAUAGAGGAUGCCAGGCCCGUAUAACGUUAAUGAUUACUGGAAGGCGCUUCCGAAGAGUCAUGUUGCUUGAUAUUGCAGCACUAUGUUGGUGGUACACUCCAUCUAAAACUAAAUAUAACCAUGAGACCGAUAGUAAACAAGUACCGUGAGGGAAAGUUGAAAAGAACUCUGAAUAGAGAGUUAAAUAGUACGUGAAACUGCUUAGAGGUUAAGCCCGAUGAACCUGAAUAUCCGUUAUGGAAAAUUCAUCAUUAGAAUUGUAAUAUCCUUAAAAAAUAUUAUAAUGAUAGUGUGCAUUUUUUCUAUAUAAGGACAUUGUAAUCUAUUAACAUAAUAAAAUGUUUUUCAAACAUUCAUGAAUUUAAAGUUUAUUCAAAUUAUUUUGCUUGCAUCUUAACAUGGAAUAAAUGUUUUUGAUUUGAUAAAGUGUAGAUAGAUUUAUUAUAUAUACAGUGCUUUAAUUUUUCAGAAUUACAUAAUGGCAUAAUUUUCCUUGAUUAUUAUGUUUAUUAUAUGCACUUGUAUGAUUAACAAUGCGAAAGAUUCAGGGUACUCUCAUGACCCGUCUUGAAACACGGACCAAGGAGUCUGACAUACAUGCAAGUCAUUGGGAUUUUAUAAGCCUAAUGGCGUAAUUAACUUAACUUAAUAAUUAUGGGAUUAGCUUUUAAACUAUUUAUAGUUUGUUAUCACAAUCCCGGGGCGUUUUACAUAGUUAUGUGUAAUAAUAU
Molecule: ribosomal RNA, 858 nt
Filed under: Stegana curvinervis
Lineage: Eukaryota; Metazoa; Arthropoda; Insecta; Diptera; Drosophilidae
Description: eukaryotic LSU rRNA
Rfam family: Eukaryotic large subunit ribosomal RNA
Source: RNAcentral